Molecule: ribosomal RNA, 446 nt
Filed under: uncultured bacterium
Lineage: Bacteria
Description: partial 16S ribosomal RNA
Rfam family: Bacterial small subunit ribosomal RNA
Source: RNAcentral
CCUACGGGUGGCAGCAGUCGAGAAUCAUUCACAAUGGGGGAAACCCUGAUGGUGCGACGCCGCGUGGGGGAAUGAAGGUCUUCGCAUUGUAAACCCCUGUCAUGUGGGAGCAAGUUAAAAAUAUAGUACCACAAGUGGAAGAGACGGCUAACUCUGUGCCAGCCGCCGCGGUAAUACAGAGGUCUCAAGCGUUGUUCGGAGUCACUGGGCGUAAAGCGUGCGUAGGCUGUUUCGUAAGUCGUGUGUGAAAGGCGUGGGCUCAACCCGCGGACGGCACAAGAAACUGCUAGACUAGAGUAAAGGAGGGGGAACCGGAAUUCUCGGUGUAGCAGUGAAAUGCGUAGAUAUCGAGAGGAACACUAGUGGCGAAGGCGGGUUCCUGGACAUUAACUGACGCUGAGGCACGAAGGCCAGGGGAGCGAAAGGGAUUAGAUACCCUUGUAGUC